AACAUUGGUGUCAAGUCAGCAGAAGAAGAAGGCAUUUGUUGUGAUUGGGAUCAAUACGGCGUUUAGCAGUAGGAAGCGGCGGGACUCUGUUAGAGAGACCUGGAUGCCCCAAGGUCAAAAGCUCCAAGAUCUAGAGCGAGAGAAGGGAAUUGUUGUUCGAUUCAUGAUUGGCCACAGUGCUACUUCAAACAGCAUUUUAGAUCGCGCCAUUGAUUCAGAGGAUGCUCAGCACAAUGACUUUCUGAGG
RNAcentral lists this unclassified non-coding RNA (247 nucleotides) under Hevea brasiliensis (rubber tree). Lineage: Eukaryota; Viridiplantae; Streptophyta; Magnoliopsida; Malpighiales; Euphorbiaceae. The record is from RNAcentral.